UACAGAGGAUGCAAGCGUUAUCCGGAAUGAUUGGGCGUAAAGCGUCUGUAGGUGGCUUUUUAAGUCCGCCGUCAAAUCCCAGGGCUCAACUCUGGACAGGCGGUGGAAACUGUCGAGCUAGAGUCCGGAAGAGGCGAGUGGAAUUCCUGGUGUAGCGGUGAAAUGCGCAGAUAUCAGGAGGAACACCAAUGGCGAAGGCAGCUCGCUGGGACGGUACUGACACUGAGACGCGAAAGCGUGGGGAGCAAACAGG
Molecule: ribosomal RNA, 253 nt
Filed under: uncultured bacterium
Lineage: Bacteria
Description: partial 16S ribosomal RNA
Rfam family: Bacterial small subunit ribosomal RNA
Source: RNAcentral